GAGUGACACGAGAGGGUCAGAGAGCUGGGGUGCGGCAGCGCAUGAUUAGGACAGGAGCAGGAGGCCUGCUUCUGCCAUUUUCAUGCACUGCCUCUUCCCUGGCUCCUUCAUUCACUCGUGCUUAUGAC
Molecule: non-coding RNA, 128 nt
Organism: Marchantia polymorpha subsp. ruderalis
Lineage: Eukaryota; Viridiplantae; Streptophyta; Marchantiopsida; Marchantiales; Marchantiaceae
Source: the annotation of a GenBank genome assembly